RNAcentral lists this ribosomal RNA (723 nucleotides) under uncultured bacterium. RNAcentral describes it as "bacterial SSU rRNA". It matches the Rfam family "Bacterial small subunit ribosomal RNA", at positions 8 to 709 of the family's 1533-position model. The record is from RNAcentral.
AGAGUUUGAUUAUGGCUCAGAACGAACGCUGGCGGCGUGGAUAAGACAUGCAAGUCGAACGGGAUUUUCUUUGGUAGCAAUACUAGAGAAAGUCUAGUGGCGAACGGGUGCGUAACACGUGGGCAAUCUGCCUUAAAGUGGGGGAUAGCUCGGCGAAAGCCGAAUUAAUACCGCAUAUGAUCAGGAGGGACAUCCCUUCGAAAUCAAAGAUGGCGCAAGCUAUCGCUUUUUGAGGAGCCCGCGGCCUAUCAGCUAGUUGGUGAGGUAACGGCUCACCAAGGCCUUGACGGGUAGCUGGUCUGAGAGGACGACCAGUCACACUGGAACUGAGACACGGUCCAGACACCUACGGGUGGCAGCAGUCGAGAAUUUUUCUCAAUGGGGGAAACCCUGAAGGAGCGACGCCGCGUGGAGGAUGAAGGUCUUCGGGUUGUAAACUCCUGUCAUUUGGGAACAAGUUGCACACGUUAACUGCGUGGGCAUUGAUAGUACCAGAAGAGGAAGAGACGGCUAACUCUGUGCCAGCAGCCGCGGUAAUACAGAGGUCUCAAGCGUUGUUCGGAUUCAUUGGGCGUAAAGGGUGCGUAGGUGGCGCCGUAAGUCGGGUGUGAAAUUUCGGAGCUCAACUCCGAAACUGCAUUCGAUACUGCGGUGCUUGAGGACUGGAGAGGAGACUGGAAUUUACGGUGUAGCAGUGAAAUGCGUAGAGAUCGUAAGGAAGAC